GUCGAUUUAUGUUCUACAUCCACCCUGUAGAUCCGAAUUUGUUUGAAUUUAUAUUAAUAACAAAUUCGGUUCUAGAGAGGUUUGUGUGGGGCAUUUGUUAAC
This 102-nucleotide non-coding RNA is filed under the name Anopheles gambiae (African malaria mosquito). RNAcentral describes it as "microRNA aga-mir-10 precursor". Its record names the gene aga-mir-10. The stretch from base 14 to 88 matches the Rfam family "mir-10 microRNA precursor family". Rfam says of the family: In this case the mature sequence comes from the 5' arm of the precursor. RNAcentral also lists the same sequence under 1 other name. Lineage: Eukaryota; Metazoa; Arthropoda; Insecta; Diptera; Culicidae. The record is from miRBase by way of RNAcentral.